RNAcentral lists this long non-coding RNA (6711 nucleotides) under Sus scrofa (pig). Its description in RNAcentral is "lncRNA (ENSSSCG00065024691.1)". The record is from RNAcentral. Lineage: Eukaryota; Metazoa; Chordata; Mammalia; Artiodactyla; Suidae.
GAAUGGGGAUUGCCCAGGAGAACCUCCGGCAGCACAUCCUACAACAGGUGCUCCAGCUGAAGGUGCGAGAAGAAGUCAGAAACCUACAGUUACUCACACAAGCCUCAACCGAGGGUUCUCCAUAAACAUGGUUAGCCUUCCAAGCUGCUGUCCUGCCAGUCGAUAUGAACAUGGCCUGUUCCUCACAGAAAGACGAACUCUUGAUGCUGCCAGAAGAUAUCCUUGGAGCAUUGACAGAUUAACUGGAUUAACUGGAAAAAAAAAAAAAAUUCGGUCAAGAUCAUGGGCUUUGGAAAGUCUUAGUUUGCUAUGGAUUUUUAAAUGAGGUGCAUAAUAUACAGUGCCAACUUGUUCCAAGUGGUCAUUGGCAGACCAUUAGCUGGAAAAUAGCUUCCAGUUUUCAUCACUGUGCAUAACUCAAGCUCCCUCGGGGAGCUGUCUGUGCCCUUCACUAGAAGUCCUGUUUUAGCAUGGCAACUACUGGAUUAUUUUAUUAUGUGUGCAGAUGGCAUGAUGUGUUAGAAAAAAAAAAUUACAGCAGUUCUGCAGUCUCAGUGGAAGUGUUCACAAUAUUAGGCCCUGGUAGAGCCAUUCCUCAUGAUACUGGAUUCUGGGAAGCCCCAAUGCUAUGACUGGUCCUGGGGACACAGAAUUGGGCCUGAGGAAUUCAAAUGAACUACUGCCAGGUGCUGAGACAUUGUAGCUGGGAAUGAACUGGUUUAGCUGGGAGUGCUCUGAGAACUACUGUUAACACCCUUAGAAAAUUGGACAUGCUUUAUGGGGCAGAUGUUCAUGAUAUGAUGAUGGUGGUUCAUCCUUACUUUGGCAUUUGCAAAAUAUGUUCUGAACAUGAGUAGAGUUUUAUAGCUUUUUUCGAGUCACAAAUGUGCUGGACAAUGAUUAAAAGAUGAUGGCUGAAGAUGGAGAUGGGAGAAGGCAAAGAUGGAAACAAUGAAAGAGCCCCAUUGACGAUGGUGUCUCUAAAAAUGCCUUAAUUCCUGGCACAUACCACAUAUUUGCAUGUGAGCUACUACUGUUUUCCAAACUGUCAACCUCGGUUUGAAAUCAUUUGGGGGCAUAGUUUUGGAAACGUGGUGGCCUAUAAUCUGAGCAGUUACAAGCUAAACCAGCAAAAUAGAGAAAUGAUUUCCUUCACAGCCUUGGGAUUCUUUGUUAUGCAUUGAUCCACAGUUACCCAUGGUUACUUCCUGCUGUGCUGUACCUUCUUCCCAAGAUAUAUGUAGGACGUUUUACCUCCUAGAAGUGCAGAGAUGGCUGUGGUGAGUUUUGUUUAAUGGGAAGCAGGAGACAGGAAGGUAGGGGAUAAAUAUUUUGACGACUAAGGGCUGUAAACUGUGGAUGCUGAACUUUUCCUUAAACCCAGGCUGCACCUUUUAUUUAAAGGCUGCCCCCCCCACACACACACACACAUGCUUGUUCAGGAAAGGCACUCUUGGGAGUGAGCCAAAAUGAAUAAUUAUCAGACUCUUGAGGGGUACCCAGGGGAUAAAUUGUUCCAGCUCCAGAGCUGAAUUUAAAUAUGCAAAGCAUCAGUGGUCCUGCCUCAGUAAAAAGCAAAUCCCUUCAGUAGAUUAAGCCUACCUAGGGGGGCAAGAGACCCUAUCAGCUUUCUUGUGGGCGUGGCUCAUCUUCAAGUCUCUGCGCAGCCUCUGUGAGGUGUGUAACCGCCCCGUGGACUUCUACCUCCAGAAUACAGGGAAAUAACCCCGGGUUCCCUCCGGAGUCCCUUCUCAGUUGCUCGGACAGUGGCUAAUAGUCCUUAGAUCUGAGGGACUCCUUCCUGGUUUUUAACCUUCAAGGGGAAAAGGGACAUCAACCUUACGUGAGAAUAUAAUGGAAGCAUUAAAACUUCUAAUGGGCGUACCCCCUUGUUCCUUGCAAAUGUUUUCUUUGUCUGCAAAUGUCACAUAAUCGAUUUUGGCGCGGAACAAUGGAAGUCUCACAAAGGAAAAGUUUUCAAGACCCCCUUAGCACUUUCAUUUUGCCAAAACCUCCUCUUUCAGUGCUUCAGCGGCUUCAUUCUUUGUACUGUUUUCCUCUCCAUUCAAGUAAUUUUGUUACUUGACAACUAGACUUAAAGCUGCCAUGGUCUCUUUUUAAAAGUCUAAUCUUUGAAAAUGACAUCAAUUCCUUUAUGCCUUAAAGGCAGUUUUAUUCACCUCUUCCACAACCCUCUCCACUUCACUUUCUUGCUUUGUUUUGUGAGGUGUGGUUUUUUUUUCCUCUUAAUCUCUUUCUUUUCAUAAUAUAGUUCCUUGGGCAGAUUUCAAGUAUUCCGCAAAGAACCCAAACAGAAAAACAUAGUCGUCCCCUUUCUUACCAGUUCUGACUAAUAAGUCCUUGUUGAGCUUGAUCUGGGUGAAAGCUUGGUGCCCAGACCACACUGGGCAGGAAUUCUCAUCGUCUGGAGAGUGGCCGGUCACUGCAGUAAUCAAAACAAGACCCGCGACUCACGAGGAAGGACAGACGGCCUGGGAGAUGCAGCUGCUUGGGCACAGCUGGGGACUGUGUUUCAAAGACUAGCGGGUCCUGUCCCUUUGUUUCUUUAGAUGUGCAUCUAAUCCUGUAGCCAGAGAACUGUCUUAUGAAUUCUGCUUUAUCAAUGUGAGUGAUCCCUGGCUCCGCUGCACAGCUUCAAGGUCAGAGAGGGCUGCAUUUCCAUUACUUUGCUCUGGUGACUUCUGCCUCUAGUAAAGAGGCAAGAAGGCUUCAUUUUUUAAAAAUGUUUUUAAAUAAAUUUUAUGGGGGUCUCAUUGACUUAACAAAGUUGCAUUAGUUUCAGGUGUACAGCAAAGUGAAUCAGUUAUACGUAAUACCUAUAUACCUUCCAAGGAGGCUUCUUUUGAAAGCUAACCACCUGUGGAAAGCUUGAAAAACUGGCCAGUUGCACAGGGAGGUUUGGCCACCCUUUAAUAAAAGGAACCAAAUCAAGCUUUCUCUAGGGAUUCUCAUUUGGGAAGUUGGCUAGGAGGAUGGUAUCAGUACAGGCUUUCUUCUGGCCAUUAUCUUGGCCCUGCAGGGAAAAUUCUGGGCAAGGAGGACAAGCACAGAGAUCUAACAUAUUUAGAGUGCAAUUUGCCCAUGACAAAUCUAGAGGAGAAGUGCCAUGGAGGAAAGGGCUGGUUUCAGACCUCCUUCCCAGCAACACAGACUGAGACAUAAUGUCCACAGAACAACAGAAAAGGGGUAGCAGAGGCUUUGUAAAUCUGGACUUUCCCAUGCCACGUUGGGCUAUUUUAAAGCCUUUCAGAGCCCCAAGCAUCCUUACUUCAGAGGCUCCCAAUUAUAUCAAGCGCUCGAAAGCACCAACAACAUACACCUAAUAAAAUUUCAAAGUAGCCAUGUGACUUGCAUUGCUUUGCAGGUGACUGGUUGACAUUAAGUGUUACAGCUAUUUAGACAUUAAUUCUGAUUAUGCAAUUCCUUUUUACAUUUUGAAGCCAGUGGUUUGGGGUUUCCAUCGUUUCAUUGUUUGUUUUGUUGUUGUUGUUUUCCAAACCUCAAACAUUUACAGAAGCCUUAGAAAGGCUCUUCGACCCAGAUCUUUUUGCCUGAAGCACAGAAAUAGAAACAGCCCUCUGAUGCAAACAAGGCAACGGUUAUAUUAAUCCAACUUUAGAGAUGCUAGCACCUAAACUCUUUAAGACCCUGAUGACUCUGCUGGUUGCCUUCUGCAUUGUUUAUAGCCUUUUAAGUUUCAGUCAUUUGGAUCAAGGGAAAUAAACAGGCUGCCUUCCCAUGGCCUUGCCACACCAGCACGCACACAACCACUACACAUGGAAUCCUAAGCCAGAUUCAUGUGCCACAGCACACAGAUCUGUUUCCGGUGAUCGUAUCUAAUUACCAUCCCCGACCCAACCCCCCAUUUUCUAUAAAAAUGGAUUCAUAUGCUUUACUCUAAAAAAAGUUCUAAAAUGAGAUUCGUACUCAUUAGAUCAUGACUUCUCUUGGGGUGGGGGAAUUGACUUUGCGACAUAACCUUGGAGAAAAAUCACUGGCUAUUAAAUGCCUUGGUGAUUGCUCCUGUGCCCUUCCAAAAACCGAUGUUGGACUUCUCCCAUCUCCCCAGAGGUCAGCCUGGCCUCCCUCUCAAGCAGCACAAAUAUCAUGAAGAUACCUUUGGAAGUGUCUAAACAGACUCCCUAUUCAAGCAUAAUUCCAAAAAUGGGAUUUGAAUCAAGGACUGCCUUGAUUCUGGGUUAUGUGAUCCCUAAAUCAAUUCCAAUUCUUUAGAUAUAUAUCCACAGCAUUUUUUUUUCACCUGCAUCCUCUAUGUUAAUGUGUUUGCAUCAGGGGCUACACACUAACUCUGUCACAACUUUUGACAAUGUCUAUGCCACGUUCCCAUUCCGUGCAUCAAGAGAAGACCAAAAACAUUUCCUUUGGUACCAGCCGCAGAGGUUCUGAAGUACAGAACCAGGUAUUUUUUCACAUCAGAAGGCCCCUGUUUAUAGGUAGAAACUUUAAAGAGAAACAAGGGAAGGGAUAUUCCUAUUUGAACUCUGGAAUCUGUUUUUUCAUUGUCGUUCGGGUCUCACCUCAGAGCACCCUUCUCUUUCUAGAAGCAGCAGCUUCUUCGGGGAGUGUUGGCCCCCAUUGGAGGUGGUUGGGAUUCCACUUGCUUAAACUUACAGGAAGGGCACCGUAAGGCUCUCUGAGGCUCUGCGUGAGUUCUCCACUCCUCCCUUUCUUUCACCAGUAGAAAAAUGCUAUCCUUACAAGGCCAUGUUUGAGGAGCCCUCAGUUUAGCCAGUGAACCUCCACGUUACAGAGAGCUGAACAAUGCCAGGUUCUUGACUGUGCCCUCUAAGCCUCAGUCGUGAUUGGCACAGAAGCAACCAGUCUGCUGAAAAGCCGAGCCAGCACAAAUGUUUUGAAACGAAUUCCACUGAAACUCUUGUUUGUUACAUCAUACUUGCUGUAGUUCCAGUUAAUCCAACUAUUUAAUAUCAUGAGGUACUAAAUUAAAUAGCUGUACACAAAAUUUUAGAAAAGAUCAAUAUUGUAACAAAAUUACAUAUUAGCAGUAAAAAGUACCCAAGAAAAGAAAAUAUUGAUCCAUUGUGGUUUCUAUACUUGAGUUAUUCUUAGGACUCUGGAGAGACUGGCACUGCUCUGAUAAAUGAGAAGAUGGCUUUCUUUGGUCUUUGAAAAUGUUUAUCGGAGUAUAGUUGAAUUUGCAAUGUUGCGUUAGUUUCAGGUGUACAGCAAAGGGACUCAGCUACCUAUAUACACGUGUCUGUUCCUUUUCAGAUUCUUUUCCUAUAUAGGUCACUACAGCGUGUUGAGCAGAUUUCCCUGUGCUGCACAGUAGGUCCCCGUUACUCCUCCAUUCCAUAUAUGGGGAAGACGUUUUGAAUUCGAGAAUACGAACUUGAACUAAGGGGAAACUGCCUGUCUCUCUGGGCCUCUGCUCAUCUGUUUGGGAUGCUCCCUGUUCCAUCUUAGCAGACAGGGUUGUUGGGAGGCCAAAAUGAGCAAAGGGGAGAAGCUAUGCUGUACCACCCAUAUCUGUGUAUUCAUCCUGGUGAGCUGGGCUAUUGGCUUUUGUCAGUGAGCCCUUUUCUUUGGUUUAUGCCUUCCCUUCAUAGCUCUUAUUACUGAGAUUCCAUUCUGGAAUUUUGAAAAGUAAAAUAAGAAAGUUACCAAUCAGCAUUCUGAAUGCACACCCAAUAUAUGGCGACUGGUCUACAAAGCUCAUGGUCAAGGUGCCCAUUCAUCCCCACAUCACCUCCCAAAGGUUUAGAGCACUAGCCGAGCGGAGCUCAGUGCAGGUGAAGAUUGCCAAUCCCCGGGGUUGAAGACAGCCCAUGAAGUUGACAAAUUGAGGGUCACAGGAAGCAGAGAGCCACAUCGAACUUCCUUGAUGAGCUGCCAUGUAUUAGUCUUUGUGCUGGGAAAGAAAGAGGAAGAAAAAUGAGACAAUGUGAAUUGCAUGUGAGACCAGGGCUCUCAAUUGAGUAUGAGAGGGGGAAAAAUCCUGCACAAAAAACAAAACAAACAAACAAAAAAAACCUAGUUCACUGUUUUGCAGACACUAACAAACAUGGCUAUAAAAGCACAUUUUGUAACACAAAAGCCUACGUAGAUCGUAGACAUGUUUAUAGCAUCCUUAAGUGAGUAGUUAAACCAGCAGUCUGAAUUCUCUUAGUCCCCUGAGUGGUUAAUUAAAUAUUUUCCUUAUUCAUUGCCCACAACUGUGGUUUUCCCCCUCUAUGCACCCUAGAAAAAUUCCCAAGACUAGACUUAGGAGGACACAAGCCGGUUAUGUGGUAAAAUAAGAGUGCCUUUUCUGUUGGAUGUUCAUUUUAGUGCCCUGCAUUUCCAGGGCAUACCAUGUUUAGAAACUUUUUUCUCUAAACGUAGGAAUUACUAGGCACCACGAUUUUGAAAUACCAAUUUCCAUAUCUUAAGCAGCUGUCAACUUGCCAAUUCCCUUUGGGUCUCCUUUACAUUUUCUUAUAAUGUUUCCUUGUGUUUUGGGUUGCCCUCAAAAAGAGUUUUGGGGGGGCAUGACUUUUUAAAUUGAUAGAAAUGCAACUGUACAGAUUUUUGCCCCCUUGUAUCUGUGAGCAUGAUCUCUAUCAGGCUUGAAAAAUCUGCUUUAUCAUUUUGUAUAUUUGACUAUUUUGUAUUCAACAUUACUUGAUUCCUUAUGUGCAUGGCGAUGUAUUAAAAUGUGGGAUUUCU